Sander lucioperca (pikeperch) is the source of this 985-nucleotide long non-coding RNA. RefSeq lists it as uncharacterized. The transcript is spliced from 2 exons. The record is from RefSeq and is a predicted model, not a curated record. Lineage: Eukaryota; Metazoa; Chordata; Actinopteri; Perciformes; Percidae.
AAUAACCUCAGACUUAUCACCCCCCAGCGUUAUGGCGGUGAAAUGCACCGCAAUGCAAAGCAACCCCGACGCAGAACUCCAAAAGGGUCACGACGCCGUAGGAGCGACGGCGUAGCUACGCCGUGGAGUUGACGCAGAAGCAUAAAACAGCCUUUAGACAGUUGUGAUUCUUUUAAAGAAAUACAAACAAAUACAGAACGUUUAUUUCCCUCUGUCUGAGAAUGAUAACUCGAGCAGUCAGACAAUACUCCAGUGCUGUCGCAGUGCUGUGGCGAUCUGGCAAAGCAAGACUAACGAGACUGCAACUCAAUUUAUUUCUGGUGAUUUUUACUCUCUUCUUUAUAAAAAUGUCAGAAAAUAGUGAAAAGUGCCUGUUAAUAUUUCCCACAUUUUCAGUUACUUCAUACUUCAACAGUCUGAAACCUAAAGAUAUACAACUUACUGUUAUAAAAAUAGAGAAAAGCAGUAAAUCGUCACAUUUGAGAAGCUGUAACCAGAACAUUUGGCAUUUUUUGCUUGAAAAAUCACUGAGACAAUGAAUCCGUUAACAAAACUGUAGCUGAAUAAUCAACUUAUCGAUUAACCAUGGAUUCUUUCUGCUCUAGUCGUGAACAUGGGACUCUUUCUCUUCAUCGUCUAUCCAUUUAUGACAUGAACGUUGCAUUGAAGCACAGUCGGCGCCCUCGGUUGUUGAUGGUGAAAUCAAUGUGAAUGAUUGGAAACCAGGAUAGUAAAUGGUUGAAUGCACUGCAGUUACACAGUUAGGGAGAGGUUAACCCUCUGAGUAGUAUUUAUGAAGUUACAGUGCAAUGGAAAAAUAUUUUUUUCUGUAUUUAAGUAACUGGAUUUCUCAUAUGUCUUUCCAUUUAAGUAUUUGUUUCCAUUUGAUGGUUGAAAAUUGUCUCUGAAUGUUUAAUUUUUAGAAAUGUUAUUGUAAAAACAUCAAAUGUUUGCCUGGUAAUAAAAUAAAAUGACUUUGGCAUGA